UACGGGAGGCAGCAGUGGGGAAUAUUGCACAAUGGGCGCAAGCCUGAUGCAGCCAUGCCGCGUGUAUGAAAAAGGCCUUCGGGUUGUAAAGUACUUUCAGUCGUGAGGAAGGUGUUAAGGUUAAUAACCUUAGCAAUUGACGUUAGCGACAGAAGAAGCACCGGCUAACUCCGUGCCAGCAGCCGCGGUAAUACGGAGGGUGCGAGCGUUAAUCGGAAUUACUGGGCGUAAAGGGCACGCAGGCGGUUAAUUAAGUUGGAUGUGAAAUCCCCGGGCUUAACCUGGGAAUGGCAUUCAAGACUGGUUAGCUAGAGUCUUGUAGAGGGGGUAGAAUUCCAUGUGUAGCGGUGAAAUGCGUAGAGAUGUGGAGGAAUACCGGUGGCGAAGGCGGGCCCCUGGACAAAGACUGACGCUCAUGUGCGAAAGCGUGGGGAGCAAACAGGGAUUAGAUACC
This 454-nucleotide ribosomal RNA is filed under the name uncultured bacterium. RNAcentral's name for it is "bacterial SSU rRNA". It matches the Rfam family "Bacterial small subunit ribosomal RNA", at positions 340 to 786 of the family's 1533-position model. The record is from RNAcentral.